RNAcentral lists this ribosomal RNA (293 nucleotides) under uncultured bacterium. RNAcentral's name for it is "partial 16S ribosomal RNA". The record is from RNAcentral.
GGACUACUAGGGUAUCUAAUCCUGUUUGCUCCCCACGCUUUCGCUCCUCAGCGUCAGUACCGGCCCAGAGCGCCGCCUUCGCCGCUGGUGUUCCUCCUGAUAUCUGCGCAUUUCACCGCUACACCAGGAAUUCCACGCUCCCCUACCGGACUCUAGCCACAGCAGUCUUGGGUGGCGUCUCCAGGUUGAGCCUGGAGGUUUCACACCCAACUUACUGAGCCGCCUACGAGCUCUUUACGCCCAAUAAAUCCGGACAACGCUUGCCCCCUACGUGUUACCGCGGCGGCUGGCAC